GGCUGCAGAACAUGACAGGAAUCAUUUUUCCGAAAAUUAGGAUUCCAGUAAAAAUCCUCAUCUCUAUAGCCGACUCCCCAGUGCAUAGAAACAUCCUCAACAUCCUGAUGGCGGCCAUGAAACGUCACCAUGAGGAUACUUUGGUAACCGAUAGGUUCUCAUCUUCCCACCUUCUGCCCUCUAUGUUGCCUCCUCUGCUGACGGUGGUAGGGCACGGAGUCCAGUCACUAUAUGGGGUGACAAGACAGUCUUUUCGGCAUGGCAGCAAGCAUGGCCUCAUUGUCUCCGGGCGAAGACUUUCAGGACAUCUAAACAACAAAAAAU
Long non-coding RNA from Hyla sarda, 324 nucleotides. RefSeq lists it as uncharacterized. NCBI's taxonomy places the organism in Eukaryota, Metazoa, Chordata, Amphibia, Anura, Hylidae. The transcript is spliced from 3 exons. The record is from RefSeq and is a predicted model, not a curated record.